GAGCUCGUAGGCGGUUUGUCGCGUCUGCUGUGAAAUCCCGACGCUCAACCUCGGGCCUGCAGGGGGUACGGGCAGACUAGAGUGCGGGAGGGGAGAUAGGAAUUCCUGGUGUAGCGGUGGAAUGCGCAGAUAUCAGGAGGAACACCGAUGGCGAAGGCAGAUCUCUGGGCCGUAACUGACGCUGAGGAGCGAAAGGGUGGGGAGCAAACAGGCUUAGAUACCCUGGUAGUCCACCCCGUAAACGUUGGGAACUAGUUGUGGGGACCAUUCCACGGUUUCCGUGACGCAGCUAACGCAUUAAGUUCCCCGCCUGGGGAGUACGGCCGCAAGGCUAAAACUCAAAGGAAUUGACGGGGACCCGCACAAGCGGCGGAGCAUGCGGAUUAAUUCGAUGCAACGCGAAGAACCUUACCAAGGCUUGACAUAUACGAGAACGGGCCAGAAAUGGUCAACUCUUUGGACACUCGUAAACAGGUGGUGCAUGGUUGUCGUCAGCUCGUGUCGUGAAAUGUUGGGUUAAGUCCCGCAACGAGCGCAACCCUCGUUCUAUGUUGCCAGCACGUAUUGGUGGGAACUCAUGGGAUACUGCCGGGGUCAACUCGGAGGAAGGUGGGGGAUGACGUCAAAUCAUCAUGCCCCUUAUGUCUUGGGGCUUCACGCAUGCUACAAUGGGCCGGUACAAAGGGGCUGCAAUACCG
RNAcentral lists this ribosomal RNA (698 nucleotides) under Microbacterium sp. RNAcentral describes it as "bacterial SSU rRNA". It matches the Rfam family "Bacterial small subunit ribosomal RNA", at positions 565 to 1257 of the family's 1533-position model. Lineage: Bacteria; Bacillati; Actinomycetota; Actinomycetes; Micrococcales; Microbacteriaceae. The record is from RNAcentral.